ACAUCUUGCCAAAUAUAAGAACAUAAUACUUCGAGAACGAGACCGUUUGGCUGGAGAAGUUGUUGAUCUUGAAAAACGAUUAGCUACCAACCGAUAUUAUUCCGAAAACUUAGAAUAUAUCAUCCGAAACAAUGAAGACGCUAUGAGUAAAAUGGCUUCCAGAGCUAAAUUUGCUGAGGGUGAACGGUUAAACGUAGAAUCCAAGCUGCGAGCUCUUAUGAAGACUAUGGAAGAACAAAAAGAGGCUCACGGAAAAACCAUGAUAAAACUCGAUAUAGCGAAUCGAGAUUUAGCAGAGACAACAAGAAAACUAAGUCAAAAAAUGUCUGACUACGACAGGCAAAGGGUGCAUUUGGAUAAAUACAGAAGUGAAGUUAAUGCUUUAAAUAAAGCAAUGCACAAAUAUGAAGAUGACAUUGCAGAUUUGACCAAAAAUCAGAAAAAUAACGAGGAAAUGAUUAAGCAGCUCAGGUUUAUUGAAAAAGAGAAAUCAAAUGCAGUCAGUCAAUUAAGCAGCAAACUGAAAAAGUCAAUAGAAGAUCAAAACAAUGCUACAACUCGGAUGUAUAAAUUGAAUCGAAAGGUUAUGAUGUUAAACAGUGAAAUUUUAAGGCUUAAAAACAAUAUUAAUUCAUUAGAGAAGGAUGUUUUAAAUGCCAAUGGUCGAACAGAUGAAGUUUUUCGAGUCAAAGAGACACUACAACGUGAGCGAGACAGUCUCCGAAGUAAUAUCAUUAAAUUAAAUAACUCAAUGGCAGACUUAAAGCAUGAUAUGAUGCUAAAAGCAAACAUGAUCAGUUCAUUAAAUUUGGAUAUUAACAAGUUAAAUGUUAAACUAGAUGAAGCUUAUAUUCUAAAAUCAAAGGCAGAAAA
This is a non-coding RNA of Drosophila kikkawai, 873 nucleotides long. The record is from RefSeq and is a predicted model, not a curated record. NCBI's taxonomy places the organism in Eukaryota, Metazoa, Arthropoda, Insecta, Diptera, Drosophilidae.